CCCAAACCUGCAAAACAAUUCAAAGUUUGUGAAUUUUGGAUAGACAGGAUUCCGGUUGAUGAGUAUUUAAGGUUAGAUGAAGAGUGAUUUAUUUUCUGGAUUUGUCACUAACAUAAAUUUUGCCGUCAGAGGAACCGGCAAAAAGCAUGAAGUCAUCCAUAUCCGAUGUCAAUGAGUGAAAACGAAGUCAUUGUUGACGGCUAUGCGUUGGAUAUCAAGUCCGGUUGAGAAUGAUCCAAUUACUGUCUUGGUGGAAAGGGAAAUUACCUUCCAUACGCAAAAAUAAGCCAAAAAUAAAUAAAAAGAGACCAAAAUCGACCAGCUACCAAAUUGAAAGGGAUUUUAAUUUUGGGUUUGCAAACAAAGAGCAACAUUGAGAGUUGCAUACCUUUCCAGCUGUAGCAUCCACUGAAGAACCACCAGCAAACAGGAGGUCAUCAUGAACAUGCAGGGAAUAUAUGGUUUGUUUUCCUAACAAUUUUCUUGUUCCAGAGUAGAUUGUGUUUGAUGUGUAAUCGCACAAAUUAACUUCCUGUCAUUUUUAUUUUGUAAUUCAAAAGAUCAAUAAGCUUUUAUAAUUGCUACCUGAAAAGGAAGGUCC
Carya illinoinensis is the source of this 601-nucleotide long non-coding RNA. RefSeq lists it as uncharacterized. The record is from RefSeq and is a predicted model, not a curated record. The transcript is spliced from 2 exons. Lineage: Eukaryota; Viridiplantae; Streptophyta; Magnoliopsida; Fagales; Juglandaceae.